This is a non-coding RNA of Bos taurus (domestic cattle), 73 nucleotides long. The record is from Rfam. NCBI's taxonomy places the organism in Eukaryota, Metazoa, Chordata, Mammalia, Artiodactyla, Bovidae.
UCCCCAGUGGUCCAGUGGUUAAGACUCUGAGCUUUCAACACAGGGAGCACAAGUUCGAUCCCUGGCUGGGGAA